GCUUAGAGAGGGGUCAAUGUCCUAUCAGCUAGUUGGUAGGGUAAUGGCCUACCAAGGCUAAGACGGGUAGCCGGCCUGAGAGGGUGGUCGGCCACACUGGGACUGAGACACUGCCCAGACUCCUACGGGAGGCUGCAGUCGAGAAUCUUUCGCAAUGCCCGAAAGGGUGACGAAGCGACGCCGCGUGUGGGAAGAAGGCCUUCGGGUUGUAAACCACUGUCGGGAGUUAAGAAAUGCAAGGGUGUUAACAGCAUCCUUGCUUGACUAGGGCUCCGGAGGAAGCCACGGCUAACUCUGUGCCAGCAGCCGCGGUAAUACAGAGGCGGCAAGCGUUGUUCGGAAUUAUUGGGCGUAAAGAGCACGUAGGCGGCUUUGUAAGUCAGUUGUGAAAGCCUUCUGCUCAACGGAAGAACAGCAUCUGAUACUGCAAGGCUAGAGUGCGGAAGGG
This 448-nucleotide ribosomal RNA is filed under the name uncultured Planctomycetota bacterium. Its description in RNAcentral is "bacterial SSU rRNA". It matches the Rfam family "Bacterial small subunit ribosomal RNA", at positions 217 to 656 of the family's 1533-position model. Lineage: Bacteria; Pseudomonadati; Planctomycetota. The record is from RNAcentral.